Molecule: non-coding RNA, 72 nt
Organism: Trichonephila inaurata madagascariensis
Lineage: Eukaryota; Metazoa; Arthropoda; Arachnida; Araneae; Nephilidae
Source: the annotation of a GenBank genome assembly
GUCCCUGUAGCGCAAUGGAUAGCGCGUUGGAGUUCUAAACCAGAGUCGUGAGGUGGAAUCCCACCUGGGAUG